AAAAGUCGUAACAAGGUCUCCGUUGGUGAACCAGCGGAGGGAUCAUUACUGAGUUUACGCUCUACAACCCUUUGUGAACAUACCUAUAACUGUUGCUUCGGCGGGUAGGGUCUCCGCGACCCUCCCGGCCUCCCGCCUCCGGGCGGGUCGGCGCCCGCCGGAGGAUAACCAAACUCUGAUUUAACGACGUUUCUUCUGAGUGGUACAAGCAAAUAAUCAAAACUUUUAACAACGGAUCUCUUGGUUCUGGCAUCGAUGAAGAACGCAGCGAAAUGCGAUAAGUAAUGUGAAUUGCAGAAUUCAGUGAAUCAUCGAAUCUUUGAACGCACAUUGCGCCCGCCAGCAUUCUGGCGGGCAUGCCUGUUCGAGCGUCAUUUCAACCCUCAAGCUCUGCUUGGUGUUGGGGCCCUACAGCCGAUGUAGGCCCUCAAAGGUAGUGGCGGACCCUCCCGGAGCCUCCUUUGCGUAGUAACUUUACGUCUCGCACUGGGAUCCGGAGGGACUCUUGCCGUAAAACCCCCCAAUUUUCCAAAGGUUGACCUCGGAUCAGGUAGGAAUACCCGCUGAACUUAAGCAUAUCAAUAA
Molecule: ribosomal RNA, 585 nt
Filed under: Colletotrichum gloeosporioides
Lineage: Eukaryota; Fungi; Ascomycota; Sordariomycetes; Glomerellales; Glomerellaceae
Description: eukaryotic LSU rRNA
Rfam family: 5.8S ribosomal RNA (bases 221-374)
Source: RNAcentral